ACCCCAAGGGAUUAGCUUGUAGAGAGGGUAUUGGCUUUAACGAGUUGAUUUGAUAUUGCCUGCUUAGUUAGAGAUCGCUAAUUAGAAUUAGGUCAGUGUCUAGCUUUUCUUGAGGAUUUCUAUCACGGGAGUGAAUUAAUCUGUUGUUGAACUUGUUGUCUAGGGAUAGCUUCUGUGAAGUUUUGUCCACCGCCUGAAUAGAUUAAGGAGGCCACACUAUUCGAUUACCCCAUCCUUAGGAAUCGUUUAUCCAUUUGACAGCCUGUUAUCAUUUGAUUUGUUAUUCACCUGCCUCUAAUUGCCAUUUCUGCUUUUAGUUUCAUUUCAUUUCUGUUAUUGCAUACUAGGACUGUUAGAACCAACCAACUCUCUGCUUGACUUGAAUUAGAGCUUUCUAAUCAUAUCUCAUCUGUUUACAUCACAUCGGAUUGGAUUGACAACCUAAAAUACUACAACAACAGGAUAGUGUUUUAGGAUUAAUUGAGUAAAAUCUUAAUAUCAAUUUGGCGCCGUUGCCAAUUUGGUGUUUGUUUGCUAUAUUUGAGAUCAUU
Molecule: small RNA, 551 nt
Filed under: Arabidopsis thaliana (thale cress)
Lineage: Eukaryota; Viridiplantae; Streptophyta; Magnoliopsida; Brassicales; Brassicaceae
Description: ATSL264110
Source: RNAcentral